AGUUAAGUUGGUUUUGGACAUAUUUUCAAAGUCUGAGUUGCUUAUAUUUCUAACCGAAAUCUAGCAACCCCAAAUUAACUUCAAUAAAGAGGUAACGUUAAGGAAAGUUUUUAAAACACAGAACGAAAAUUUAUUUCCUUGAACAAACAAAACUCUCCACUCGACUGCUUUCAAACAAACUGGAUGAUACAGGUAUUUUACUUCAAAAUCUCCCAGUGGCUUGGUUCCUAGACGACUCAGAAGUUUUGUUAUCACCAUUAUGUCGAGUGACGUUUCUUUGUCAGACAUCCUGCCAUUGCAUAAGUAUGAAUAUUGGAAAGUUCCUGGCUGUCUCCUUAAUGGUCUUGUAUCCAAGUAUUUUGUUCAGGUUAGUAAAUUGACCUUUAGUUUAAUUCUAACAAAUAUCAUUUAGUUGUCAUAAGUAUGAAUAUUGGACAUUAAUGGCCAUCCCUACGUACCUGAAAGAUUCCUGGCUGUCUCCUUAAUGGUCUUGUAUCCAAGUAUUUUGUUCAGGUUAGUAAAUUGACCUUUAGUUUAAUUCUAACAAAUAUCAUUUAGUUGUCAUAAGUAUGAAUAUUGGACAUUAAUGGCCAUCCUUACGUACCUGAAAGAUUCCUGGUUGUCUCCUUAAUGGUCUUGUAUCCAAGUAUUUUGUUCAGGUCUAACGUACCACAUACAUACAGACUUCUCUGGAAACAGGUGUUGUAGAAACAACCAGUCAUAUGACACGAUUGACUAAAUACGGUUGUUCAAUAUGAAGAACUGUCUUAAACUGGAGACCAUGGGAACAACAGUAGUUGUAUAACUUCUAUGAGCUCAGGUAAUAGUAUGUUUUGGCCUGUAGUUUGAAGAACUUAGAUGUAUUGUUAGAUCAAAUUGUAGUUUGUGUAAUUGGUGCAACUAAAUAAAUAUGUAUUUUGAAAUUUUAAAAAAACAAUUAACUCAAACUGAUAUUUAAACCUCAAGUGUUUACACACACACCAAAACAACUGCACAUUGCGUAAUUUUUCUAAAAGAAUGUUUAGAAAAUAAUAAACAGAAUUUCGAUUUUUUUUAUUUUUUUUUAUUUUUUUUUUAUGAUGUGAUUAAUGACAUAUGAAUGAAAUUAUGAACUCAAGCAACUGAAGUUGAAUUUUUUUCUUGGAUUGUUUAGUAUUAUAUCCUGGUAAGGCAUCAAUUAAAUAGGUAGAACUUACCAAGUCAAGUUAUAGCAUGGACUUAUAAUAGCUAAUGUAUAAAUAUAGGUCUGAGGUGGCAGAAACAAAAUCGUAAGAUCUUAACAAUG
This 1285-nucleotide long non-coding RNA is filed under the name Limulus polyphemus (Atlantic horseshoe crab). RNAcentral describes it as "uncharacterized LOC111088867, transcript variant X2". The record is from RNAcentral. Lineage: Eukaryota; Metazoa; Arthropoda; Merostomata; Xiphosura; Limulidae.